AACCGCCGAGUACGGAACCGUACGCUCGGUGGUGUGAGAGGACGAAUAAUCAAAUAAUGAUUAUUCUCCUACUCGAU
This 77-nucleotide non-coding RNA is filed under the name Staphylococcus aureus subsp. aureus 21204. The record is from RNAcentral. Lineage: Bacteria; Bacillati; Bacillota; Bacilli; Caryophanales; Staphylococcaceae.